GAUGAACGCUGGCGGCGUGCCUAAUACAUGCAAGUCGAGCGAACGGACGAGAAGCUUGCUUCUCUGAUGUUAGCGGCGGACGGGUGAGUAACACGUGGAUAACCUACCUAUAAGACUGGGAUAACUUCGGGAAACCGUAGCUAAUACCGGAUAAUAUUUUGAACCGCAUGGUUCAAAAGUGAAAGACGGUCUUGCUGUCACUUAUAGAUGGAUCCGCGCUGCAUUAUCUAGUUGGUAAGGUAACGGCUUACCAAGGCAACGAUGCAUAGCCGACCUGAGAGGGUGAUCGGCCACACUGGAACUGAGACACGGUCCAGACUCCUACGGGAGGCAGCAGUAGGGAAUCUGCCGCAAUGGGCGAAAGCCUGACGGAGCAACGCCGCGUGAGUGAUGAAGGUCUUCGGAUCGUAAAACUCUGUUAUUAGGGAAGAACAUAUGUGUAAGUAACUGUGCACAUCUUGACGGUACCUAAUCAGAAAGCCACGGCUAACUACGUG
Molecule: ribosomal RNA, 497 nt
Filed under: uncultured bacterium
Lineage: Bacteria
Description: partial 16S ribosomal RNA
Rfam family: Bacterial small subunit ribosomal RNA
Source: RNAcentral